UACGGAGGAGGCAAGCGUUAUCCGGAAUUAUUGGGCGUAAAGCGUCCGUAGGUGGUUGACCAAGUCUGCUGUCAAAGGGUGGGGCUUAACCUUAUAAAGGCAGUGGAAACUGGUGAGCUAGAGUGCGGUAGGGGUAAGGGGAAUUCCCAGUGUAGCGGUGAAAUGCGUAGAGAUUGGGAAGAACAUCGGUGGCGAAAGCGCCUUGCUGGGCCUGCACUGACACUGGGGGACGAAAGCUAGGGGAGCGAUAGGG
RNAcentral lists this ribosomal RNA (253 nucleotides) under uncultured bacterium. RNAcentral's name for it is "partial 16S ribosomal RNA". It matches the Rfam family "Bacterial small subunit ribosomal RNA", at positions 524 to 776 of the family's 1533-position model. The record is from RNAcentral.